AUCACGUCAGGUUUUUUUUUUUUUUUUUUCUAUGUUUUUAAGUGGGAGCUUCAAAGAAAAUAGUAAAUAAAAGGAAGUAUAUUAAACUGUCUAAAUUAAAGGAGACGUUGGCAAAGAAAAACUCUCACAGAGCUGAAAGAGUCGAAGCGGGCUGUGAACAGCAUCCUGGUGAAUGAUAAUGAAGAUGAUGAUGAGAGAGUCAGCUGGAGUGGGGAACCUGCUGGAAGCAUCUCUUGGUCGGUGAAGGAAACCGCCUCCAGUAUCCGCUCAGGCAGCGAGCUGAGCUUUCCCAAAAUAGACACCUCUCUGUCAUUGUCUAAACAGGGUCUGGAUACUCCCUGAGCUCCCUGUUUAAAGGAUCUUGUCAGUGACCUGAGAAGAAUGCAGAAAGGACGGGUAGGGGGCAGCAAAGAGCUUUAUAUAGAGAGUACUGAUACUGUAAAUACAAGAUGUACAACACUAGAAGGUCAGUGUAAAGGUGAAGUCAGGAGAUCUAAUAUCUUUGAAUAAAGCCAUUUAGUUAAUUCUCAGUUUCAGUAGGUGCAGGCCCCUUUCUUUUUCAUUUUAUAUUUUUAAAAUAUAUCUGCUGUCAUAUAGCAAAAUAUCAGUCACAUAAUUUUAUUUUGCUUACAAAAAGGAUUCCGUCAUAAUAUAUGGCUACAUUUGAAUGGCUGUAAAUGGUAAAAUAUGCUUUUCUCAUCUAAUUAAAAUGAUUCUUUCACAGGUUUUGUUCUCUAGAAAACUUCUGCUGCUAGAUGAAGCCGUUGCAGUUUAUGAUGGCACCCUCAUAACUGCUGUGAGCCGCACAUCUCUCUCACACCCUAUAUUGAGCCACUGCUAUGACUUUAUGAGGGUUCAUAUCAGUAGGAACAGCUUGUGCUUACUAACUGACAUUUAACAUUUUCCUACUGCAGGUCUUGAUAUAUUUAAAAAAGUGAGAUUUACUGUGAUCUGUCAUUGCUCACCAGUUCCUUCUCCUUCUCUUGUUUUCACAAUAAGUACAAUAUUUUUUAGAAAGUAUUUUUAUUUUUGCAGAAAUUCUCUUUCGAGAGUUAAUGGCGAGAGAUGUGGCUUUGCGUCAUUGCGUGCAUUAUUUAAAAGAAAUGGGACAACAAAAGCUUUUGGUUGAGUUGCUGAAGGCUCUUGGCAGGACAGAAGAUAUGGCGCCUUCCUUUCUCACAAGAUGAUGCCUCUCAUGUUCAAGACCACUGACUAUACACUCCUCGAGAGACAAAUAAUCAUGGAGAGUGGUGGACAUUCUGCAGAAGAACAGCGCACCUGUAAACGUACGCCAGUUUCCAUGAUGUAAUAAACCUGCUCAGUCUCCUCACACGUGCUUCCCCAUGAUCUGAAUACAGGAAGGUCCAGGAACUCCUCAAUUACACGCAAAUCAGAUGGAAAAACUGACAGUUGGAAAGAGUGACACGAGGCAGUGGUGGGCAGAUGUGUGUCAGAGCUCUUUCAUUGACAGUGUUACACAAAAAACACUAGAAAGCUGCUUAAUAUGGAGUUAAUUCUGAACAAACAGGAAUGAGAUCCUCACAGCCAUUGAACAAUUCAAAGAACCAGUGGAGCGAGUCAUUCAGAGUGAUUCUUUCACAAAUGCAUCUGUUCUGUAUGAUCAAACUGCCAACUCUACAGCUGAACAUUUCUAAAGGAAGGCUUUUACUGGUGGCUGACGUGAAGAGCGUACUAUUUCACCACUCGCAUCUUUGUUAGCACGUGUAUGUUUCUGACACUCUUUUUAUUUUAGUUUAAAAAUAAUAUGAUACUGAACGGUUUAUAACAGUAAUACUGUUUAUAUUAGCAUACCGGUUUUCUGGUAAAUAUCUGACUGUAGAUAUGAAGAAGAUAAAAGCUGUGAAAGUUGUUUCAACAGUACAGAAUUUGACACAAUUACAGGGUAAACUCACAGUUUCUGUAAGUGGAGGCAGAUUAAUAACCACAAACGAGUGCACAGCCGCAGAAUGAGCCAGGAAGUUCCCACACUGUGUCGUUUUGAACCAUGAUGUAAACUGUGCAUCACAUAACCUUUUUCAUUGGAUUUCCACAAGUUUUGGUUCUUCUAGAAUCGUUGUGUGUACUCUAUACAUCUUAAAUUCAGAGCUAUUUGUGAAGCCAUUAAUGGUUUCCAGAAAAAAUCUAUAAACUCAUAUUAAUGAAAAACAGUAGAAAACACGUUUAGAAACUGAAUUCAAAGUGUCAUAUUUAUGAACCAAUAUAGUAGAUUUGACAUCCCAUUAUACAUUUUUAAGUUGGCGCUACCAAAUUCACACUUACUUUCAGUUCAUUUGCAAGACAUUUAUAAUGUUCCAAAAAUAUGUCAGAGAAUCUUGAAAAAAAAAAAAGGUUUUCACAGAAAUAUUAAGCAGCACAACUGUUUUUUUACAUUACUAAUGGCAAGAAAUGUUUCCUGAGCAGCAAAUCAGCAUAUAAGACUGAUUUCUGAAGGAUCAUGUGACACAGAAGACUGCAGUAAUGAUGCUGAAAAUACAGCUUUAAAACACAAGAGAAAAAGAAAACGCCAUUUUAAAAUAUAUUCAAAUUAUCACAAUUUCAUUAAAAAUGGUAAUGUUUCACAGUAUUUUUUGAUGAAAUAGUUGAUGAGCAAAUUAAACUUCUUCCAAAAAGAAAUCAAUAAAAAAAUUAAAUCAAUUACAAAGCCCAAACUUUUUCUUGGUAUAGUGUAUAUUUCUUAUAAACACCAAGACUAGGUCCAGAUCCAGCCCAAGACUUGUCCAGGUACAAACCUGUCUCAAAAAUAGACAAUUUUGCACAAUUUAUUGCAACAAAAUGCAUUUUAUUUGAUUUGUACUUCUUUUUUUUAAUCAAAAUGCAUUUUAAUUUCAUUAUGUUUAUAUAUUGUCUUUUUAAAUUAUUAGCUAAAUCCAAAAAUAUCAUUUGAUAAUAAUAGUAAAAAAAUAUGUAUUUAAAGAUUCUAAACCUUUGUAUCAGGUUAUGAAAUUACAACUCUUACAAAUUUCAUAUAGACUAAGGUGCCCAGAAAAGGUGGAGAUGUCUUUCUACAACAAUGUGGGAUCAUGAAAAAAAAAAUAAUUAAUAAUAAUUAAUAAUGAUCACUUUUCGUUUACUAGAAAUCCGUACACACAGACAUUUCAUGGCAAUAUUCAUAGUAUGCUGUUCGGUUUAAUCUUUAUUGCCUUGUCCAAACACCCACACCUACUUUUUUUUUUUUGCCACUUGAGGCCGCGUGCCCCCGACAGGAAGAAUGUGCACAAGACUGUCCAAAUCUUACAACCGCCAAUGCACAGUGCCCUAGAUUUUAUUGAAGUAUGUUUUUGGCCAGAUACAAAAUUUGCUAAGUAUCUGUACUUUCACUUGAGAAAAAUUGUGAGUACUUCUACACCUCUGCUUGAACCAGAUACAGGAAAUAGCUUAUGUCAUAGAAGUGGUCAGGUGCGUGUGGGUAUUUGGGCAAGGCUCGUUUUCUUCGUGUUUCCUUUUUUAGAACAUCAGGCCUGUGUUUGUUUUGUCUGUUUUCAAUAUGUAUAUGUGUUAAUGCUGAUUUUUUUUUUAGACCAGCUGAAAUAUUCUUCAUAUAAAUUUUAUUUCCUGGAGGAGGAUGCUGGCUUUUCAUUGUAGGCUAUUAAAAUAACUGGUUCAGGUUCAUUUUACUAUAAGCAUGAGCCCCGUCAGACUGGUCGUGGCGGAGGUGUUGCAACAAUAUAUAGCGAUAUUCUCAAUGUUACCCAGAAAACAGGAUACAAGUUUAACUCAUUCUAAAUACUUCGGCUAAAUGUUACACUGUCAGACAUGCAAAAUAAAUCUAAUGUAUCUCUUGCUAUGGCUACUGUGUAUAGACCACCAGGGCCGUAUAUAGAAUUCCUAAAAGAAUGUACAGAUUUCCUCUCAGACCUUCUAGUUACAGUUGAUAAGGCGCUAAUCAUGGGAGAUUUUAAUAUUCACGUUGAUGAUACAAAUGCAUUAGGACUUGCGUUUACUGACCUAAUAAACUCUUUUGGAGUCGAGCAAAAUGUCACCGGGCCCACUCAUCGUUUUAAUCAUACACUAGAUUUAAUUAUAUCUCAUGGAAUCGAUCUUACUGCUAUAGAUAUUGUACCUCAAAGUAAUGAUAUUACAGACCAUUUCCUUGUAUCGUGCAUGCUGCGUAUCACUGAUAUUAACUAUAUGUCGCAGCGAUACCGUCUGGGCAGAACUAUUGUUUCAGCCACCAAAGAAAGAUUAGCAAAUAACCUGCCUGAUCUAUCUCAACUGCUAUCUGUACCCAAAAAUACACAUGAAUUAGACGAAAUGACUGACAACAUGAGCACUAUUUUCUCUAAUACAUUAGAAGCUGUUGCCCCUAUCAAAUUUAAAAAGGUUAGAGAAAAACGUACUGUGCCAUGGUAUAACAGUAAUACUCACUCUCUCAAGAAAGUAACUCGAAGUCUUGAACGCUAAUGGAGAAAAACUAACUUGAAGUAUGUCCAGCUAUAGACAGGCUCUAAAAACUGCUUGGGCAGAGCAUAUCCACAAACUCAUAGAAAACCAAAACAAUCCAAGGUUUUUAUUUAGCACAGUGGCUAAGUUAACAAAUUACCAGACGCCACCUGAUUCAAAUAUUCCACCAACAUUUAAUAGUAAUGACUUUAUGAAUUUCUUCACUGAUAAAAUAGAUCAUAUUAGAAAUACAAUAGCGAAUGUAGAUUCUACAGCGUCUAACACUUCAGUUUUAUCCAUCGCACCCAAAGAUAAACUGCAGUGCUUUACAACUAUAGGACAGGAAGAGCUAAAUAAACUUAUCACUGUAUCUAAACCAACAACAUGUUUAUCAGAUCCUGUACCCACUAAAUUACUGAAAGAGCUGUUACCUGUAGCCGAAGAAGAGCUUCUCGAUAUUAUUAACUCGUUGUUAUCUUUAGGUCACGUCUCAAAACCAUUCAAGCUGGUGGUUAUUAAGCCUCUUAUUAAGAAACCAAAACUAGCUCCUAGUGAACUGGCAAAUUAUAGGCCCAUUUCAAAUCUUCCAUUUAUGUCUAAAAUGUUAGAAAAAGUUGUGUCUUCUCAAUUGAGCACCUUCCUGCACAAAAAGAUCUGUAUGAAGAAUUUCAGUUAGGUUUCAGGCCCCACCAUAGUACAGAAACUGCACUUUUUAAAAUUACAAAUGACCUGCUCCUUGCGUCGGAUCAAGGCUGCAUCUCAUUUCUAGUCUUACUUGAUCUUAGUGCUGCAUUCGACACAAUAGAUCACGACAUACUCAUAGAUCGAUUACAAAACUAUACAGGUAUUCAAGGGCAGGCUCUAAGAUGGUUUAGAUCCUACCCAUCCGAUCGCUACCAUUUUGUUUACUUAAAUGGGGAGUCAUCUCAUUUAUCAUCAGUAAAAUAUGGAGUGCCACAAGGAUCCGUCCUAGGUCCCCUUCUAUUUUCAAUAUACUGUACAUGUUGCCCCUUGGUAAUAUUAUUAGAAAAUACGGAAUUAGCUUCCACUGUUAUGCUGAUGAUACUCAGCUAUAUAUCUCAACGAGACCAGAUGAAACGUCUAAAUUGUCUAAGCUAACAGAGUGUGUUAAAAUUGUAAAAGGAUGACCAAUAAUUUUCUCCAAUUUAAUUCGGAUAAGCCAGAGAUAUUAAUUAUUGGACCAAAAAACACUAAAAAAAUUUUGUAGAUUACAAUCUGUAACUAGACGGGUGUACUGUUAGUUCUUUUACAGUCAAAAAUCUGGGUGUUAUAUUAGACAGCAACUUGUCUUUUGAAAAUCAUAUUUCCCAUGUUACAAAAACUGCAUUCUUCCAUCUUAGAAACAUUGCCAAGCUACGAAACAUGUUAUCUGUUUCUGAUGCAGAAAAGCUAUUUCAUGCAUUUAUGACCUCUAGACUGGACUAUUGAAAUGCACUUCUAGGUGGUUGUCCUGCUUCUUCAAUAAACAAGCUACAGGUAGUCCAGAUGCAGCAGCUAGAGUCCUUACAUGGUCAAGAAAAUAUGAUCAUAUUACCCCAAUUUUACAGUCUCUGCACUGGCUACCUAUUAAGUUAUCAGGUAUCAGUGAUAUCAGUUACAAAUUAUCAUUACUUAAGGCCCUAAAUGGUUUAACUCCUGCUUACUUAACUAGCCUUCUACCACGCUACAAUCCAUCACGCUCCCUAAGGUCACAAAACGCUUGACUUUUGGAAGUUCCUAGGAUAGCUAGGAGAGCUUUUUCACAUUUUGCUCCCAAACUCUGGAAUAGCCUUCCUGAUUAUGUUCGCGGUUCAGACACAAUCUCUCUGUUUAAAUCUAGAUUAAAAACACUUCUCUUUCACCAAGCAUUCGAAUAAUGUAUCUCUUAAAUUGUGAGUGUAGUUGCAUCUGAUCGAAUGUGCAUUUUUAUUCUUUAGCUUGGGUUAAAGUAAUUAAUUUUACUUUGUUGGAUCAGCAGCUAUGCUAAUGAUGUCUCUAUUUUGUUUCUAUGUUAUGCCACAGGAUUUACAUCCCAUGGUAACUAGGAUUUACACAAGCUGCAGUCUGGAUCCAGAACACAGAAGAGAUGAUGCUGACCCUCAGAGGACCUCAGAUGAUGCUAACCCUGAGUCAACAAACAGAACUAACAAAUAUUGCUACAAGUGUGACUGCAUCAUAUAAUAAUUAUUGAUAAUAUUAAUAAUGUUCAUCAUCUGGCUGACUACGUCUUGCAUGAAUUUUUCUACAAAUUCUGUCAUACGUGCACAAACUGACAGUCACCAC
Carassius gibelio (silver crucian carp) is the source of this 6684-nucleotide long non-coding RNA. RefSeq lists it as uncharacterized. The record is from RefSeq and is a predicted model, not a curated record. NCBI's taxonomy places the organism in Eukaryota, Metazoa, Chordata, Actinopteri, Cypriniformes, Cyprinidae. The transcript has 8 exons.